RNAcentral lists this transfer RNA (75 nucleotides) under Schistocerca americana (American grasshopper). RNAcentral describes it as "tRNA-Leu". It matches the Rfam family "tRNA". Rfam says of the family: Transfer RNA (tRNA) molecules are approximately 80 nucleotides in length. Their secondary structure includes four short double-helical elements and three loops (D, anti-codon, and T loops). Further hydrogen bonds mediate the characteristic L-shaped molecular structure. tRNAs have two regions of fundamental functional importance: the anti-codon, which is responsible for specific mRNA codon recognition, and the 3' end, to which the tRNAs corresponding amino acid is attached (by aminoacyl-tRNA synthetases). tRNAs cope with the degeneracy of the genetic code in two manners: having more than one tRNA (with a specific anti-codon) for a particular amino acid; and 'wobble' base-pairing, i.e. permitting non-standard base-pairing at the 3rd anti-codon position. Lineage: Eukaryota; Metazoa; Arthropoda; Insecta; Orthoptera; Acrididae. The record is from RNAcentral. RNAcentral also lists the same sequence under 5 other names.
UGCUUGGGUAGCUCAGUUGGUAGAGCACUUGCCCGCAAAAGGCAAAGGUCCCGAGUUCGAGUCUCGGUCCAGCAC